CACCGCGCUGGUCGGACUUGGUUUAACGACAGCGGCGCGGGAAGAGCGGGGGACUGUGGGAUAGGUCUGAAACACCCCGAUGCGGCGGCGAAGGCAGCACCGCAGACCGAAAAGGCUACCGGGU
This 124-nucleotide non-coding RNA is filed under the name unclassified sequences. Its description in RNAcentral is "Betaproteobacteria-1 RNA". It matches the Rfam family "Betaproteobacteria-1 RNA". The record is from Rfam by way of RNAcentral.